UCUAAAAUUGCCAGCAAAGGUUACAAAACCUCGCGUUUCGCAUCCCGGAGGGGAGGGAGAAAGGGAGCCCGGGCAUGGGGGUGGGGCGAGCGCCAGAGAGUUUUGACUUAAACCCGUAUUUCCUCAUUUUCUGGAGGACCCCGCUAGCCCCUUACAGGCGCCUUUAUUUUCCUACUGGCAAAAACUCCUUUUAAAAAUAACGCAGGAGUCCAAAGGAGCCCCUCAGUCCGCAAUGUCCGUCCAAUUCCUUAUAUAGACUCGGGCCGCAGCCGGCGGCAGGGCCGUUGCCGCCCAUUAUUCUCCAAACAGGUACCGGGCGGCGCACAAGUCGCGGCCCUCUCGCCACAGGAACUGUCCAGACAAUAACAAGCAGCAGACAUUUCGCUGCGGAGCCAGCGGGCACAGCAUCGCCUCGAGAUAAGCAGAUAGGCAACCAACUUACACCGUCUCCCCAAACUGGAAAAGGCGACUGUGCAACCACCACCGCCACAUGUUCGGGUCUCGCUCUCUUUCGCUAUUAUUAAUAAUAAUAAUAUUAUUUAAACUCUCACGCCAGGCAGAGGGGAGUGCGUCCGGGCACAUCAGCACUAAUCAAUAAACACUGCGGCUGCAGCGCGGGCAGCAGCGCCCCGCGUCCGUCAGUCCGUCCGCCCCCUCCCCCACCCUCCUUCCACCCGAGACCCAGAGCCCUCUGAGCUCCAUUAUCCGGCUUCAGCGCUCCGCGCGUCCGGGCCAGGUAACAACUUCCCCCAAACCGAAAGAGAACCCCGGAGACACACGCACUGCACCCCGUCCCGGCACGGAGGUGGCGUCCUCCCGGGAGGGGAUCUGUCUGUGGUGCUUCCCGGUCCCCGGGACCAGAAAUCCUCGCCAAGCAAUCUCUGACCAUCUCAAGACCAGUGGAAGAAACCCUGGGCUCCAGAGGAACUCGAGAGGAGAGCUACUGACCGGUGCCUCUCCAAGGAAAAGCAGACCCAGAGCAGAGCCCAAGAGACAGCCGUGGUCCAGCGAGCUGCAGGGGACAGGGGACCCAGGGACAGGAGGAGGAACAGCAAGGGCCUGGAGGCUGCUGCAGUCCAUGCACUUGACAGUAAGGAAAUAUGGAUGUUGUAGAGACACAGCAUGAAUUUUCUUUUUUUUUUUUCAAAAAUAGAAGGGAGUAAGAAUUCUCUUUGCACCAUCACAGUGCCUAGCCCAAUUUAGAAUUUCUGCAAAACCCAGUCCCUGGUACUUUAUAAAGACACAGAAGAAACUGGCACAUAAGGCAGACAGAUAGGACUUGACCAUCCUCCUGGCUGCAGACUCCGUAGGUCAGUGUCAGGAUCAUCCAGCCUUAAAGAUCAUCCUCCCCCACAUUGGCUGAGUGCCGGGCGAAGACCUGAAAAGCCAGUCACAGCCCAAUUCAGUCACAAGGGAAAAUGACAUUUGUAAUUAGUAUUCCGAUUCAAUUCCAUAGUUUCCAGGUAGAAAUGUAAAGCAAAACCCACAGGAAUCCCGGCUGACAGUGCAUUUCAAGAAGAUACAAACAAGAUCAGGAGGCCCCGGGCAGCUCGAUGCCUGAAUGGCAAUGGCCUUGGUCACCGGCUUCCUUUGGGAAUCUCAGGGCAAAGGCGCGGCAAGGGUCCGCAGGAAGCUCUCAGUGUCACAGCCAGCAAACUUGGGGACAAAAGCUCUGACUUUAUGGGGACCAUGUUUGCAAUGAAGAAUCAGGGUUCUGGGGAACAGCCAACGCACAGCCCUGCCUGCUGAGUGGGAAACGCCCUUGAACUCUGGAGGUCUGUCAAAACCAUUUCCAUCAGGGACGGCCCCGCCUUCCACCUGCUGGUAACCAGAGAACACGGAGGCACUUCUUGUUCUGGUGGAUUUUUCUUGAUUCCUGGACCUGCCAGGAAUGUAACUUGGCAGGGGGUGGGGGGUGGGGGGUUAGCCAGCCAGGCCUGAGGUGUGGGAGGCUGAGGCAUUUCAGCAGCUGCUCGGGGGCGGCGGCACAUUGCAAUU
This 1998-nucleotide long non-coding RNA is filed under the name Sus scrofa (pig). Its description in RNAcentral is "lncRNA (ENSSSCG00005009645.1)". The record is from RNAcentral. Lineage: Eukaryota; Metazoa; Chordata; Mammalia; Artiodactyla; Suidae.